GCAGUGGAAGAUAUAGAGGAAUCCCGAGUCCACAGCAGCCUUGAAGAUGAGACUCAGCAGGCCACAUGCAUGACCACUAACAGGGAAGGACAGGUGACCAGGAUGAGCUGCAGGGCCCAGAGGCGCACGUGGGACACGGGAAAGAACUCGUCAUAGCAGACGUUGGGGCAGCCGGGCUGCUUGGUGUUGCAGAUGAAAUCCUUCUGCUCGUCAUCCCACACCUCCUCCGCCGCCACCACAUACACCAGCACCCGGAAGAUGAAGACCACCGACAGCCAGAUGCGGCCCAGCGCUGUGGAGUACUUG
Molecule: long non-coding RNA, 306 nt
Filed under: Rattus norvegicus (Norway rat)
Lineage: Eukaryota; Metazoa; Chordata; Mammalia; Rodentia; Muridae
Description: long non-coding RNA NONRATT022643
Source: RNAcentral